CGGCUACCAUAGAGAGGGUGCUGAGCGCCGGCCGAGGGAGAAACCGACGUUCAAAUUGCUAGAGGGGAUCCGAUGUACCAUAGAGGCCUUGGGUGGGGAGCGAGCGUCUCAGCUGGUCCGCUCUCUGGGCGCCAGGGUUGUCACGGAGAUGGGGCUCAGACCUUGGCUCGCGGCGAUGAAAUCGGAAUCUGCGAGCCGACCCGGCGGGCAGUGUCUGCGUGCCCGGGGAUCCCGGCCUGCGGCUGCACUUGAGAACUGGUGCCCGCGGGACUCGGCGUGACGGCUGUCGGGCGUGGUCGCCGGCCCCACUUCGCAGUCCUGGGUGCCCUCCUGGGGUAUCUGCGAGAGGAGCCAAAGGACUUUGGGACCCCUUUGGGUCCCUCCAUCCGCACCAUUGCCCGCAGGACGAAGAACCCUCAGACCUUGAUUUUUCACGUAAUUUAUCAGUUAAACUAAAUUUGCAACGUGUAGAUUUAUUUUUGAGACAGUCUUCUCUAUGUAGUCUAGAGUGGCCUUGAAUAUUGGACCUUCCUGCUUCAGCCUCCAGAGCGUCGGGAUUCCAGGCUUGCACCAGCACACCAAACCUGUAAGAUGUAAAUCGAUGAUGGGAGAUUACACAGCCCAGCCCAGAGUGGUGGUACACACCUGUAACCCCAGCAUUCAGGAGGCUGAGGCAGGAGGAUAGUUGCGAGUUGGAAACCAGCCUGGGCUACAAAGUGAGCUCAUAGUGAGACCCUGUCUCAAAAAGCCAAGUAAUAAUAAUAAAAUAACAAUAAUAAUCGUAAGAGAGAUAGCGCAUGAGAGAAGGGGGCUGCAUGUUUUAUGAAGGGACAUCGCUAUUUUUUUGUAACCAAGCCACACCCCCACCCCUGCUGUCUCUGAUCUGAAGCUUCAGGCCUUACUGCCCUAAGGACUUGUUUGUCAAAGCCUGUGUCCCGAUUCUUUUAAGACUGGAGUGCAGGGUUGGGAAAAUAGCUCAGUGGCACAGUGUCUACCUGGCAAGUGAAAGGUUGUGAGUUUGAUCCCUGGUAUCAAAGGGGGGAAAAAAUGAAGUACAUUUGUACAGUAAAGUGUGUAAAAUACACAAAUCUCGGGCUUAGUUUUAGUUUUGUGCUGGGGAUUGAACCUAGGGCCCCAUUCAUGGUACACAAGUGUUUAACCAUUAAACAACGACCCCAGCUCCAUUAAAAUUAAUCUUUAAGGGCUCGGGAUUUAGCUCAGCGGCAUAAGUGCCUGCUUUGGAAGCAGGCAGUCGUGAGUUCGAUCCCUGGUACCGAGAAAAAGACAAAAAAAAAAUUAAUCUUUAAGAUACUUGCACAUCAAGCUGGGCAUGGUAGCUCACGCCUGUAAGCCCAGCACUCGGGAGGCUGAGGCAGGAGGAUCAUUGUGAGUUUGAGAACAGUCUAGGCUACAAAGUGAGCUUAAGGCCAGCCUGAACUGCUUAUCAAGACCCUGUCUCAAAAAAGACAAAAAAAAAAAAAAAAAAAGAUACUUGCACAUUUGUAAAUCAUACCCACAGCAAUUUAUAACAUGCUUCCUGCACUCCAAAAAAGUAUUCCUUGUUUCUUUCCAGUUAAUACCCCCUCUUGUGAAGUUACCACUCUCUGACUUCUGCCACUAACAGUUACUGUACUGUUGCCUGUUUGGGACGUUUAUCUAAAUGAAAAUACGCUUUUUUGUUUUGUGCCUACCUCUUUAGCUCCAAGUACUGGCUGUAAGAUUUCAUCCAUAUUAUUGUGUAUAUCUAU
Cavia porcellus (domestic guinea pig) is the source of this 1748-nucleotide long non-coding RNA. RefSeq lists it as uncharacterized. Lineage: Eukaryota; Metazoa; Chordata; Mammalia; Rodentia; Caviidae. The record is from RefSeq and is a predicted model, not a curated record. The transcript is spliced from 2 exons.